Ornithorhynchus anatinus (platypus) is the source of this 492-nucleotide long non-coding RNA. RefSeq lists it as uncharacterized. Lineage: Eukaryota; Metazoa; Chordata; Mammalia; Monotremata; Ornithorhynchidae. The transcript is spliced from 2 exons. The record is from RefSeq and is a predicted model, not a curated record.
GAAUGAAUUGGCGGGUAGGGAAUUCUUUCAGAGACGAGGAGGCGGAUUUUCAAAACGCUCGGCUGUCGAUCUGAGAUAAAGCGGGUGCCUCCCGGGGUUCGUCCGUCAAGGGGACGGCUUGCGGGAAACGGGGGAACCGCUCCCCACAGUUGGCGGCUCCUCGGUGGCCAGCGUCGGGGUUACGGAUGUUCAAGGACCGCAGCUACAUUAAUAAGUGAUGGGCAACCGUAAACGAUCCUUAAGAGAGACACUUAAAUGAUGGAACGUUCUGUACCGUGACAUCCUCGGCAGAACAGAAUAUUCCCCAUUAAGGGGAAAGGGUAGACGCGAGAUAUCGAAUAUGGACUUUAAAUAUUUGUAGGUUGUCCUCGCCUCACACCCUCGCAGCCCGGCAGUGUGUGCUCAAAGGUCUUUAAAGAGUGGGGAUUAAAUAUUUGACUCUUUAAGUCCUCUGGAGAAGUGCUGCGACAUUAAAGCCAAGAGGUCAUGUUA